AUUCCGCCUGGGUACUACGAGCACAGCUUAAAACCCAAAGGACUUGGCGGUGUCUCAGACCCACCUAGAGGAGCCUGUUCUAGAACCGAUAACCCCCGUUAAACCUCACCACUUCUUGUUUUCCCCGCCUAUAUACCGCCGUCGUCAGCUUACCCUGUGAAGGCCUAGCAGUAAGCAAAGUGGGCUCGCCCCAAAACGUCAGGUCGAGGUGUAGCGCACGAAGUGGGAAGAAAUGGGCUACAUUUUCUACAAUAGAAUAUUACGAAUGGCACCCUGAAACAAAUGCCUGAAGGUGGAUUUAGUAGUAAAAAGCAAAUAGAGUGUCCUUUUGAAUUAGGCUCUGAGACGCGCACACACCGCCCGUCACUCUCCCCUCACACAUCAAACUCAAACCAAACAUUCUUAAUUAAACAUUUAUCAGCACGGGGAGG
This 431-nucleotide ribosomal RNA is filed under the name Pangasius sp. SP-2014. RNAcentral's name for it is "partial 12S ribosomal RNA". It matches the Rfam family "Bacterial small subunit ribosomal RNA", at positions 866 to 1481 of the family's 1533-position model. The record is from RNAcentral. Lineage: Eukaryota; Metazoa; Chordata; Actinopteri; Siluriformes; Pangasiidae.